UGGCUGGUGUCCUAGGGGGAUGAGCUCAGUGUACUCAUCCUCAGCUGAGCCGACAGAGGAGGGGCAAGGUGUGUACCUGUGCGGGAGAGGGGCUUAGGCAAGGAGCCUUGCCCGAACUGUCCUCACUUCACAAUU
Non-coding RNA from Myodes glareolus (Bank vole), 135 nucleotides. RefSeq annotates it as small Cajal body-specific RNA 21. NCBI's taxonomy places the organism in Eukaryota, Metazoa, Chordata, Mammalia, Rodentia, Cricetidae. The record is from RefSeq and is a predicted model, not a curated record.